This 434-nucleotide ribosomal RNA is filed under the name uncultured bacterium. Its description in RNAcentral is "partial 16S ribosomal RNA". It matches the Rfam family "Bacterial small subunit ribosomal RNA", at positions 27 to 507 of the family's 1533-position model. The record is from RNAcentral.
GAACGAACGCUGGCGGCAUGCCUACCCCAUGCAAGUCGAACGAGACCUUCGGGUCUAGUGGCGCACGGGUGCGUAACGCGUUGGAACCUGCCCUUAGGUUCGGAAUAACUCCCCGAAAGGGGUGCUAAUACCGGAUAAUGUCUUCGGACCAAAGAUUUAUCGCCUUUGGAUGGGCCCGCGUUGGAUUAGCUAGUUGGUAGGGUAAAAGCCUACCAAGGCGACGAUCCAUAGCUGGUCUGAGAGGAUGAUCAGCCACACUGGGACUGAGACACGGCCCAGACUCCUACGGGAGGCAGCAGUGGGGAAUAUUGGACAAUGGGCGAAAGCCUGAUCCAGCAAUGCCGCGUGAGUGAUGAAGGCCUUAGGGUUGUAAAGCUCUUUUACCCGGGAUGAUAAUGACAGUACCGGGAGAAUAAGCUCCGGCUAACUCCGUG